AUGUUGUUGCCUGAAAAGUAUUCUACAUCGAGUCCUGCUCUUCAACCACUGGAUGACACACAACGAAAAUUAGGGGUGGAAAAAAGGAUAAGCACAACCAAGAAUCUUCACUUCCAAGUUCCAACUAAUAAGCAAGACUUGUCACAACUAAUUAUGGCCCUAAAAUUGCUGGAGCUAUGGCUGAACAGUUGUUUGAACAGUUAUUCCAGAGCCACUGGGCAUACUGCACGCGUUCAUCAUAGCCUUGAGUCACUUGCCCUUGCUAGAAAAAGCUUGAACUGUGAGUGCAAUGAAGAGCUUGCGGGGUUCAUCUAUGGAAAAUUAAGGACCCUAAAGAAGAAGAAGAAAAAUCCAAAUAGAGCAAUUGAAACUAACAUCACGGGUCAACCAGUGUCAGUAGAGGACACCCAAAUCUCAUGGGAGGAGACCUCUACCAACUUGAGAAAUGACCACAUGUUCCAAAAUAAGGAAAUGGAUAGUCAUGGCAAUUUCACAAAUGGUGCACUACAAGAGGUCUCAUCUGGUGUUGAACAUAUGAUCUCAGGUGCAGGAACUUGUUUAAAGAAACUCACAGAGAAUGCCAUUUGUCAAAUGAUGAGCUUCCUAACAUGA
Molecule: ribosomal RNA, 612 nt
Filed under: Triticum aestivum (bread wheat)
Lineage: Eukaryota; Viridiplantae; Streptophyta; Magnoliopsida; Poales; Poaceae
Description: partial small subunit ribosomal RNA
Source: RNAcentral